Molecule: ribosomal RNA, 480 nt
Filed under: uncultured bacterium
Lineage: Bacteria
Description: bacterial SSU rRNA
Rfam family: Bacterial small subunit ribosomal RNA
Source: RNAcentral
AACACGCUGGCGGCGUGCUAACACAUGCAAGUCGAACGAGAAAGUGGAGCAAUCCAUGAGUAAAGUGGCGACCGGGUGAGUAACACGUGACUAACCUACCCUAGAGUGGGGGAUAACCUCGGGAAACCGGGGCUAAUACCGCAUAACAUCACGAGGGGAAGAUCCUUGUGAUCAAAGGAGCAAUUCGCUCAAGGAGGGGGUCGCGGCUGAUUAGCUAGUUGGUGGGGUAACGGCCCACCAAGGCGAAGAUCAGUAGCCGGCCUGAGAGGGCGCACGGCCACACUGGAACUGAAACACGGUCCAGACUCCUACGGGAGGCAGCAGUGGGGAAUUUUGCGCAAUGGGGGAAACCCUGACGCAGCAACGCCGCGUGGAGGAUGAAGUCCCUUGGGAUGUAAACUCCUUUCGAUCGGGACGAUAAUGACGGUACCGGAAGAAGAAGCACCGGCUAACUCUGUGCCAGCAGCCGCGGUAAUACAG